CGGGGGACAAAGUGACAGGUGGUGCAUGGUUGUCGUCAGCUCGUGUCGUGAGAUGUUGGGUUAAGUCCCGCAACGAGCGCAACCCUUAAGCUUAGUUGCCAGCAUUAAGUUGGGCACUCUAAGUUGACUGCCGGUGACAAACCGGAGGAAGGGGGGGAUGACGUCAAAUCAUCAUGCCCCUUAUGAUUUGGGCUACACACGUGCUACAAUGGACAAUACAAAGGGCAGCUAAACCGCGAGGUCAUGCAAAUCCCAUAAAGUUGUUCUCAGUUCGGAUUGUAGUCUGCAACUCGACUACAUGAAGCUGGAAUCGCUAGUAAUCGUAGAUCAGCAUGUUACGGUGAAUACGUUCCCGGGUCUUGUACACACCGCCCGUCACACCACGAGAGUCUGUAACACCCGAAGCCGGUGGAGUAACCAUUUAUGGAGCUAGCCGUCGAAGGUGGGACAAAUGAUUGGGGUGAAGUCGUAACAAGGUAGCCGUAUCGGAAGGUGCGGCUGGAUCACCUC
This 510-nucleotide ribosomal RNA is filed under the name uncultured bacterium. Its description in RNAcentral is "bacterial SSU rRNA". It matches the Rfam family "Bacterial small subunit ribosomal RNA", at positions 1020 to 1529 of the family's 1533-position model. The record is from RNAcentral.